This 462-nucleotide ribosomal RNA is filed under the name Triticum aestivum (bread wheat). RNAcentral's name for it is "partial small subunit ribosomal RNA". The record is from RNAcentral. Lineage: Eukaryota; Viridiplantae; Streptophyta; Magnoliopsida; Poales; Poaceae.
AUGAAGAAUCUGGUAUUCAAUAUCGUUCAUGGCAUUCCUGUCAAUUAUCACGACUUCUUCAUGAGGACUCUGGCAAAUGUUGCACUAUCUCCAUUUGAGCUGAAGCCUUAUGCACCUUGGAUUAUGAGAUUCCUCAGGACAAGGUCUUCACUCAACUACAAAGCUGAUUUUCAGAAUCACCUUAGCUACUUGUCCCCAAUUGAAAUCCUCAAGCAGACUUAUUCCUCAGUUGAUGGAAAGGGCAAGGCACCGAUUGUUAUUGAUGAAGGCAUUCAUCCAUUGGAUGGUCAAUUUCGCAAGGCUGCCUCUUAUUCCACCAAUGAUGACUCUGCCACACACGACUCUGCCAAUGCACCCAAGUCCACUCCUCAAGCCACUGCUCCGCGUGUGAUGACUGACCGUGAACUUUUGCUUAGUCUUCACCAGAAGGUGGAUCGAAAUCACAAAUGGGUUAAGCGUUAG